Molecule: small nucleolar RNA, 92 nt
Organism: Prolemur simus (greater bamboo lemur)
Lineage: Eukaryota; Metazoa; Chordata; Mammalia; Primates; Lemuridae
Gene: SNORD116
Rfam family: Small nucleolar RNA SNORD116
About the family: HBII-85 is a member of the C/D class of snoRNAs, which contain the C (UGAUGA) and D (CUGA) box motifs.
Source: Ensembl
GGAUCAAUGAUGACUUCCAAAUAUGAAUUCCUUGGAAAGCUGAACAAAAUCAGUGAGAACUCUAUACCGUCAUCCUCUUCGAACUGAGGUCC